AUUGAACGCUGGCGGCAGGCCUAACACAUGCAAGUCGAACGGUAACAGGAAGCAGCUUGCUGCUUUGCUGACGAGUGGCGGACGGGUGAGUAAUGUCUGGGAAACUGCUCGAUGGAGGGGGAUAACUACUGGAAACGGUAGCUAAUACCGCAUAACGUCGCAAGACCAAAGAGGGGGACCUUAGGGCCUCUUGCCAUCGGAUGUUCCCAGAUGGGAUUAGCUAGUAGGUGGGGUAACGGCUUACCUAGGCGACGAUCCCUAGCUGGUCUGAGAGGAUGACCAGCCACACUGGAACUGAGACACGGUCCAGACUCCUACGGGAGGCAGCAGUGGGGAAUAUUGCACAAUGGGCGCAAGCCUGAUGCAGCCAUGCCGCGUGUAUGAAGAAGGCCUUCGGGUUGUAAAGUACUUUCAGCGGGGAGGAAGGGAGUAAAGCUAAUACCUUUGCUCAUUGACGUUACCCGCAGAAGAAGCACCGGCUAACUCCGUG
Molecule: ribosomal RNA, 490 nt
Filed under: uncultured bacterium
Lineage: Bacteria
Description: partial 16S ribosomal RNA
Rfam family: Bacterial small subunit ribosomal RNA
Source: RNAcentral